Molecule: ribosomal RNA, 686 nt
Filed under: uncultured bacterium
Lineage: Bacteria
Description: bacterial SSU rRNA
Rfam family: Bacterial small subunit ribosomal RNA
Source: RNAcentral
GGAUAACACUUAGAAAUAGGUGCUAAUACCGCAUAAGCGCACAGCUUCGCAUGAAGUGGUGUGAAAAACUCUGGUGGUAUACGAUGGUUCCGCGUCUGAUUAGCUUGUUGGUGGGGUAAUGGCUCACCAAGGCGACGAUCAGUAGCCGGCCUGAGAGGGUGAACGGCCACAUUGGGACUGAGACACGGCCCAAACUCCUACGGGAGGCAGCAGUGGGGAAUAUUGCACAAUGGGGGAAACCCUGAUGCAGCGACGCCGCGUGAGUGAAGAAGUAUUUCGGUAUGUAAAGCUCUAUCAGCAGGGAGGAAAAUGACGGUACCUGAUUAAGAAGCCCCGGCUAACUACGUGCCAGCAGCCGCGGUAAUACGUAGGGGGCAAGCGUUAUCCGGAUUUACUGGGUGUAAAGGGAGCGUAGACGGCAGCACAAGUCUGAAGUGAAAUGCCGGGGCUUAACCCCGGAACUGCUUUGGAAACUGUGCAGCUAGAGUGCAGGAGAGGUAAGUGGAAUUCCUAGUGUAGCGGUGAAAUGCGUAGAUAUUAGGAGGAACACCAGUGGCGAAGGCGGCUUACUGGACUGUAACUGACGUUGAGGCUCGAAAGCGUGGGGAGCAAACAGGAUUAGAUACCCUGGUAGUCCACGCUGUAAACGAUGAUUACUAGGUGUUGGGGGACCAAGGUCCUUCGGU